This is a long non-coding RNA of Pygocentrus nattereri (red-bellied piranha), 1218 nucleotides long. Lineage: Eukaryota; Metazoa; Chordata; Actinopteri; Characiformes; Serrasalmidae. The record is from Ensembl.
UAUUAUGUUCAGAUAUUUAACAUGUAUGCAUACAAUGUACGAUGUUUGAUGUUUUCUCUUAUUUUAGAAAGUGGGUGAGCUGUAUCAGCAGAAAGAAAAGAGUGUGGAGGUUCACUUUGAGUCAGUAGUAGGUGAUUGGUUCUCUCAACUGGCUCAGAAAGUAGAAGCAGUGAGAAAAAAUAGAAGGGGGAGCUGGAGGACCUGGUGAAGAGCAGGAAUCAGUCUCCUGGUUUUCUCAUAUCUAUCAUAAAUGACUUCCUUCUGGAGGUGGACAGUCUUUCAAUUAGUCAGUGCCUGGAGAGUCUGAAGGUGUGCAGGUGGAAGUAUAGUCAUUGGUUUUUGGUUACUAAUUAGGUACAAGCAUUAUAAUAUGGCUUAAAGAAGUACAGUUAAAUAAAUGUUUGUACACGUGCAUGCAAACAAAUGUAUAUGUGAAUAAAUGACUGGAUAUCUUCAGAGUAUUGUAUGUCAAAUUUGUGUGAAUGUGAUAUCUCCUGUACAGUAUGAUAUUGUUUCUGGUAGAGCACUGUCAUUACUCUACCUGUCUGUCUUGUUUUAAUAGGAAGCUCAUCAUUGACGGCAUUGUUCACUGAUGACAGCAAUGAGUCAGUGUCAGUGGAGGAUGUUGAGGUUCAGGCUUUUGAGAAAUUUUGUGAGUGGAAGAAUCAAAAACAUCAGAACUCUAAAAGUGUCCAACAGGCAACAGAUAAGGCCCUCUGUGCUCUGAGUGACUGGGCAGCCAAUGCCUGCAAGUUUUCUGUUUGAUAGAGAAGAGUGGCGUGGCGUGAACCUGCAGGCUGUUGCCAAGGGUUUGGACGACAUUCUGAAGCAGGCUGAGUCCAAUGUGUGUGAGGAGUUGAAUAUUCAUCUCUUUGAGUGUCAGUCUUUUUAAUAUCCUCACUUCACACUUUUCAGACUUCUCAAUAAGGAUUGUGUACUGGAUGUUCUGUCCUAAAUGUGGAUCUGCCCAUCACUACUUGUUUUAGGCCCAAUCUAGCAUUCCUUUGUAAUUGACGCCUGCCUGAAUUGGAACUCACAGAUGUCACGUUUAAGCUUAUUGCAAGAUCUUAUAUUCUUUAGUAAGUGAAGUCUGCUCAGAAGUUGGCAUGGCUAGUAAAGAGCUUUUUUCAUUUGUGCCCUGAAAAACUUAAUAGUUGCUUUAGUGCUAAGCUUCUACUGUGAGUAUCUGUGUUUUUGAGAAUUUUUAUAGGAUCUUAG